GCCGGGGUAGCUCAGCCUGGUUAGAGUGCCAGACUCAUAAUCUGGAGGUCGCGGGUUCGAAACCCGCCCCCGGCA
RNAcentral lists this transfer RNA (75 nucleotides) under Candidatus Nitrosopumilus sp. RNAcentral describes it as "tRNA-Met". It matches the Rfam family "tRNA". From Rfam's summary of the family: Transfer RNA (tRNA) molecules are approximately 80 nucleotides in length. Their secondary structure includes four short double-helical elements and three loops (D, anti-codon, and T loops). Further hydrogen bonds mediate the characteristic L-shaped molecular structure. tRNAs have two regions of fundamental functional importance: the anti-codon, which is responsible for specific mRNA codon recognition, and the 3' end, to which the tRNAs corresponding amino acid is attached (by aminoacyl-tRNA synthetases). tRNAs cope with the degeneracy of the genetic code in two manners: having more than one tRNA (with a specific anti-codon) for a particular amino acid; and 'wobble' base-pairing, i.e. permitting non-standard base-pairing at the 3rd anti-codon position. The record is from RNAcentral. RNAcentral also lists the same sequence under 17 other names. Lineage: Archaea; Thermoproteati; Nitrososphaerota; Nitrososphaeria; Nitrosopumilales; Nitrosopumilaceae.